UGGGAGACUUGCUCCCAGGCGUCGAGCGGCGGACGGGUGAGAAACACGUGGGAAUCUGCCCAUUAGUGGGGGAUAACUCGGGGAAACUCGAGCUAAUACCGCAUAAUCCCUACGGGGGAAAGCAGGGGAUCUUCGGACCUUGCGCUGAUGGAUGAGCCCGCGUCGGAUUAGCUUGUUGGUGGGGUAAUGGCCCACCAAGGCGACGAUCCGUAACUGGUCUGAGAGGAUGGCCAGUCACACCGGGACUGAGACACGGCCCGGACUCCUACGGGAGGCAGCAGUGGGGAAUCUUGGACAAUGGGCGCAAGCCUGAUCCAGCCAUGCCGCGUGUGUGAAGAAGGCCUUCGGGUUGUAAAGCACUUUCAGUAGGGAGGAAGGCUUCGGGCUAAUACCCUGGAGUACUUGACGUUACCUACAGAAGAAGCACCGGCUAAUUUCGUGCCAGCAGCCGCGGUAAUACGAAAGGUGCGAGCGUUAAUCGGAAUUACUGGGCGUAAAGCGCGCGUAGGCGGUGUGUUAAGUCGGAUGUGAAAGCCCAGGGCUCAACCUUGGAAUUGCAUCCGAUACUGGCACGCUAGAGUGCAGUAGAGGGAGGUGGAAUUUCCGGUGUAGCGGUGAAAUGCGUAGAGAUCGGAAGGAACACCAGUGGCGAAGGCGGCCUCCUGGACUGACACUGACGCUGAGGUGCGAAAGCGUGGGGGAGCAAACAGGAUUAGAUACCCUGGUAGUGCACGCCGUAAACGAUGUCUACUAGCCGUUGGGGUCCUUAGUGACUUUGGUGGCGCAGCUAACGCGAUAAGUAGACCGCCUGGGGAGUACGGCCGCAAGGUUAAAACUCAAAUGAAUUGACGGGGGCCCGCACAAGCGGUGGAGCAUGUGGUUUAAUUCGAUGCAACGCGAAGAACCUUACCAGGCCUUGACAUCCUGCGAACUUUCUAGAGAUAGAUUGGUGCCUUCGGGAGCGCAGUGACAGGUGCUGCAUGGCUGUCGUCAGCUCGUGUCGUGAGAUGUUGGGUUAAGUCCCGUAACGAGCGCAACCCUUGUCCUUAGUUGCCAGCACUUCGGGUGGGAACUCUAGGGAGACUGCCGGUGACAAACCGGAGGAAGGUGGGGACGACGUCAAGUCAUCAUGGCCCUUACGGCCUGGGCUACACACGUGCUACAAUGGUUGGUACAGAGGGUUGCGAAGUCGCGAGGCGGAGCUAAUCUCUCAAAGCCAAUUGUAGUCCGGAUUGGAGUCUGCAACUCGACUCCAUGAAGUCGGAAUCGCUAGUAAUCGCGGAUCAGAAUGCCGCGGUGAAUACGUUCCCGGGCCUUGUACACACCCCCCGUCUCACCAUGGGAGUGGAUUGCACCAGA
Molecule: ribosomal RNA, 1359 nt
Filed under: Alloalcanivorax xenomutans
Lineage: Bacteria; Pseudomonadati; Pseudomonadota; Gammaproteobacteria; Oceanospirillales; Alcanivoracaceae
Description: bacterial SSU rRNA
Rfam family: Bacterial small subunit ribosomal RNA
Source: RNAcentral